RNAcentral lists this long non-coding RNA (707 nucleotides) under Corvus moneduloides (New Caledonian crow). Its description in RNAcentral is "lncRNA (ENSCMUG00000017926.1)". Lineage: Eukaryota; Metazoa; Chordata; Aves; Passeriformes; Corvidae. The record is from RNAcentral.
CACAAAGCUGUUUCCCUGGCUCCUGGCUCUUUGCUUGUAUCAAACAAGCCGCCUCUACUCUUGGUUUAAGGAACCACUUAAUCAUGAAAGAGAGCAUGCAAAGGGAAAUAUUCAUUAUAUUUAAUGUCCAAGCCUACUUUCCAUAAUUACAUGGAAAAGAGCAAGAGUAUCCAGAGUCACUUUGUGCCUGCAGGAUUUUUCAGAGCAGGUAUUUGCUUCAUCUGAUGGAAAGCGGCUGCUCACUGAUCUCCACUGAACUCCUGCAUGACCAGGACCCUCACACGUUUGUAGAGUAGCAGAUCCGGACUUCACCAGAUAAAAUGAGCUGGCACAAAGGGAAGAAGGAACUCACAGAAGAAAGCACAGGAGAUGGGAAGCACGGCCGAAAAAAGCGAGACCGGCUGUUUAAGAAGAGAUUUUCUCGACUGAGCCUCUUCUCUGGGUCUCCUAAGACUAAAUUCCCUCAGGGAAGAAGCCAGCUUUCUGAAGACAAGCGGAGGAGUUUACACAGGAAAGGUUCCAAGAGGCUGAAGCCAGCGCGGGAGGAAAUGUGUUCCCUGAGGCAGCCGCACUCCGGGAAGAUGUGUCCGAAAUGCGAGAUCCUCCUGUGCCGGAAAUGCGGCACCCUGCACUCGCAGAGCGGCUUCAUCGCCCACAGCCUGCUCGACCACUACGACACGGGAGGGGUCGCAGCCCUGCUCUGGUGA